Non-coding RNA from Pelobates cultripes (western spadefoot toad), 180 nucleotides. Lineage: Eukaryota; Metazoa; Chordata; Amphibia; Anura; Pelobatidae. The record is from the annotation of a GenBank genome assembly.
AUGCUAGAGCACUUUUUAAAUGGACUCCCAAACGACAAGGCGACGACUCAUUCAUAUGUCAUCCAUAUCAACUUUCGAUGCCACUUUCUGCGUCUACCACGGUGACCAAGGGUAACGGGGAAUCAGGGUUCGAUUCCUGAGAGGGAGCCUGAGAAACGGCUACCACAUGCAAGUAAGGUA